This 522-nucleotide ribosomal RNA is filed under the name Curvularia ellisii. RNAcentral describes it as "eukaryotic LSU rRNA". The stretch from base 147 to 300 matches the Rfam family "5.8S ribosomal RNA". Lineage: Eukaryota; Fungi; Ascomycota; Dothideomycetes; Pleosporales; Pleosporaceae. The record is from RNAcentral.
GCCGUCCGCGGCUGGACUAUUUUAUUACCCUUGUCUUUUGCGCACUUGUUGUUUCCUGGGCGGGUUCGCUCGCCACCAGGACCACCAAAUAAACCUUUUUAAUGCAGUUGCAAUCAGCGUCAGUACAACAAAUGUUAAUCAUUUACAACUUUCAACAACGGAUCUCUUGGUUCUGGCAUCGAUGAAGAACGCAGCGAAAUGCGAUACGUAGUGUGAAUUGCAGAAUUCAGUGAAUCAUCGAAUCUUUGAACGCACAUUGCGCCCUUUGGUAUUCCAAAGGGCAUGCCUGUUCGAGCGUCAUUUGUACCCUCAAGCUUUGCUUGGUGUUGGGCGUUUUUUUUUGUCUUUGGCUCGCCCAAAGACUCGCCUUAAAACGAUUGGCAGCCGGCCUACUGGUUUCGCAGCGCAGCACAUUUUUGCGCUUGCAAUCAGCAAAAGAGGACGGCAAUCCAUCAAGAACUCCUUCUCACGUUUGACCUCGGAUCAGGUAGGGAUACCCGCUGAACUUAAGCAUAUCAAUAA